RNAcentral lists this transfer-messenger RNA (350 nucleotides) under Clostridiales bacterium. It matches the Rfam family "transfer-messenger RNA". From Rfam's summary of the family: Bacterial tmRNA, also known as 10Sa RNA or SsrA, is named for its dual tRNA and mRNA-like properties. Lineage: Bacteria; Bacillati; Bacillota; Clostridia; Eubacteriales. The record is from RNAcentral.
GGGGGUGCAAUGGUUUCGACGGGGAUUUUGAAAGUGCGGGCAGCCAUCCGCAGACGGUAACUGCGUCGUUAAUACCGAAAUUUAAAAACAAUCGACAACGAUAAUUUAGCUUUUGCCGCUUAAUUAAAGCGGCCGCCGGCCUGAUGUAACCCGCUGCUCAGCAACCGGCGCCGACAGGCGGGGAACUUUUGCGCUUAAGCUUUGCCGCGCAAGAAGAUUUUAUGAAGCUACUAAAUUGCGGCGCGUGCCGGUUUGCGCCGCAGUGAGGGAACGUUAAUAACCGGCUGUGAUGGGAGAGGCUUUCACUAACGGAUUUUCGGACAGGGGUUCAAUUCCCCUCACCUCCAUUU